UACAGGGGGGCAAGGCGUUGUUCGGAAUUACUGGGCGUAAAGGGCGUCGUAGGCGGCCAACUAAGGUCCGACGUGAAAUCCCCGCUUAACCUGGGAACUGCGUCGGAUACUGGAUGGCUUGAAUUCGGGAGAGGGAUGCAGAAUUCCAGGUGUAGCGGUGAAAUGCGUAGAUAUCUGGAGGAAUACCGGUGGCGAAGGCGGCAUCCUGGACCGAACAUGACGCUGAUGAGCGAAAGCUA
Molecule: ribosomal RNA, 239 nt
Filed under: uncultured bacterium
Lineage: Bacteria
Description: partial 16S ribosomal RNA
Rfam family: Bacterial small subunit ribosomal RNA
Source: RNAcentral